CUUCCUCCCACUCUUCUCAACUCGAUCUCCUUCAAAAUGUUAGAAAUGAGGAUCACAGGACAGGUAUAAUCUCUUCAAAAUGUUAGAAAUGAGGAUCAUAGGACAGUCAAUUGAGCAAAGACGGCAAGUCUACAAAAACCGAGCCAGGAAUCAACUGAGGAGGCUUUUGGAUAAACAUCUAGCACCCGACCCGCAACUGUAUCCAGACCCGAACGGAGACGAUGAAUACGGCUCGGGUCGGAGUUAAUAUAAUAGAUUAUUAUUGGUGAUCAAUAAUUAUUAUGGCGGCGUCACAGCAGACUUCUGUAGGAUGUGGAAAUUAUGCAGGUGGAAAUAAUAGGAUCGCGUUGUUGAUGUCAUAGAGGAGACCAUGGUGAUUAAUGGUUUCAUCUUUUAUUCUACUUCUGCCUUUUUUAUAUAUAAGUGAAAGUUUUAUGUAUUA
Molecule: long non-coding RNA, 442 nt
Organism: Asparagus officinalis (garden asparagus)
Lineage: Eukaryota; Viridiplantae; Streptophyta; Magnoliopsida; Asparagales; Asparagaceae
Exons: 2
Source: RefSeq, a predicted model, not a curated record